RNAcentral lists this transfer RNA (73 nucleotides) under Yasminevirus sp. GU-2018. RNAcentral's name for it is "partial tRNA-Gln(ctg)". It matches the Rfam family "tRNA". Rfam says of the family: Transfer RNA (tRNA) molecules are approximately 80 nucleotides in length. Their secondary structure includes four short double-helical elements and three loops (D, anti-codon, and T loops). Lineage: Varidnaviria; Bamfordvirae; Nucleocytoviricota; Megaviricetes; Imitervirales; Mimiviridae. The record is from RNAcentral.
GGUCCUAUAGUAUAACGGCUAUUAUGACAGGUUCUGACCCUGUAGACCUGAGUUCGACUCUCAGUAGGACCUC